CGAUGAAGAGCGCAGCCAACUGUGUGAAUUAAUGUGAACUGCAUACUGCUUUGAUCAUCGACAUCUUGAACGCACAUUGCGGCCAUGGGUUAGCCCAUGGCCACGCCUGUCCGAGGGUCGGCU
This 123-nucleotide ribosomal RNA is filed under the name Haematoloechus meridionalis. RNAcentral describes it as "partial 5.8S ribosomal RNA". It matches the Rfam family "5.8S ribosomal RNA", at positions 34 to 154 of the family's 154-position model. From Rfam's summary of the family: 5.8S ribosomal RNA (5.8S rRNA) is a component of the large subunit of the eukaryotic ribosome. It is transcribed by RNA polymerase I as part of the 45S precursor that also contains 18S and 28S rRNA. The record is from RNAcentral. Lineage: Eukaryota; Metazoa; Platyhelminthes; Trematoda; Plagiorchiida; Haematoloechidae.